GACGAACGCUGGCGGCGUGCUUAACACAUGCAAGUCGAACGGAAAGGCCUUUUCGGAGGUACUCGAGUGGCGAACGGGUGAGUAACACGUGGGUGAUCUGCCCUGCACUCUGGGAUAAGCCUGGGAAACUGGGUCUAAUACCGGAUAGGACCGCACUUUAGUGUGUGUGGUGGAAAGUUUUUUCGGUGUAGGAUGAGCCCGCGGCCUAUCAGCUUGUUGGUGGGGUAAUGGCCUACCAAGGCGGCGACGGGUAGCCGGACUGAGAGGUUGGUCGGCCACAUUGGGACUGAGAUACGGCCCAGACUCCUACGGGAGGCAGCAGUGGGGAAUAUUGCACAAUGGGCGCAAGCCUGAUGCAGCGACGCCGCGUGGGGAAUGACGGCCUUCGGGUUGUAAACUCCUUUCGCCAGGGACGAAGCGUUUUGUGACGGUACCUGGAGAAGAAGCACCGGCUAACUACGUG
RNAcentral lists this ribosomal RNA (463 nucleotides) under uncultured bacterium. Its description in RNAcentral is "partial 16S ribosomal RNA". It matches the Rfam family "Bacterial small subunit ribosomal RNA", at positions 28 to 507 of the family's 1533-position model. The record is from RNAcentral.